GGGCGGUUAGCUCAGUUGGUAGAGCGCCUCAUUUACACUGAGGAUGCCAGGGGUUCAAGUCCUCUACCGCCCACAA
RNAcentral lists this transfer RNA (76 nucleotides) under Candidatus Zambryskibacteria bacterium RIFCSPHIGHO2_01_FULL_49_18. RNAcentral's name for it is "tRNA-Val". It matches the Rfam family "tRNA". From Rfam's summary of the family: Transfer RNA (tRNA) molecules are approximately 80 nucleotides in length. The record is from RNAcentral. RNAcentral also lists the same sequence under 1 other name. Lineage: Bacteria; Candidatus Zambryskiibacteriota.